Molecule: microRNA precursor, 76 nt
Filed under: Myotis brandtii (Brandt's bat)
Lineage: Eukaryota; Metazoa; Chordata; Mammalia; Chiroptera; Vespertilionidae
Description: mir-9229 microRNA precursor family
Rfam family: mir-9229 microRNA precursor family
Source: Rfam by way of RNAcentral
GAAACAUCCCUAUGGAGUGGGACUUGCUUCAGUGGGGCUUUGGUGCUCACUGAGUCUGUCCCUUAAGUGUGUCCUU